RNAcentral lists this ribosomal RNA (492 nucleotides) under uncultured bacterium. Its description in RNAcentral is "partial 16S ribosomal RNA". It matches the Rfam family "Bacterial small subunit ribosomal RNA", at positions 29 to 507 of the family's 1533-position model. The record is from RNAcentral.
AGUGAACGCUGGCGGUAGGCCUAACACAUGCAAGUCGAACGGCAGCACAGUAAGAGCUUGCUCUUACGGGUGGCGAGUGGCGGACGGGUGAGGAAUACAUCGGAAUCUACUUUUUCGUGGGGGAUAACGUAGGGAAACUUACGCUAAUACCGCAUACGACCUACGGGUGAAAGCAGGGGAUCUUCGGACCUUGCGCGAUUGAAUGAGCCGAUGUCGGAUUAGCUAGUUGGCGGGGUAAAGGCCCACCAAGGCGACGAUCCGUAGCUGGUCUGAGAGGAUGAUCAGCCAAACUGGAACGGAGACACGGUCCAGACUCCUACGGGAGGCAGCAGUGGGGAAUAUUGGACAAUGGGCGCAAGCCUGAUCCAGCCAUACCGCGUGGGUGAAGAAGGCCUUCGGGUUGUAAAGCCCUUUUGUUGGGAAAGAAAAGCAGCAGGUUAAUACCCCGCUGUUCUGACGGUACCCAAAGAAUAAGCACCGGCUAACUUCGUG